RNAcentral lists this long non-coding RNA (548 nucleotides) under Cucumis sativus (cucumber). Its description in RNAcentral is "long non-coding RNA (CSAT_LNC002026)". The record is from RNAcentral. Lineage: Eukaryota; Viridiplantae; Streptophyta; Magnoliopsida; Cucurbitales; Cucurbitaceae.
CAUGAGGCAGUUGAGGUUUUCGGCUGUCAGACUCUGGACCGUGGGUGAAGUUUGGUGAUGAUAGGGGGUAUAGUUUGUUUUUCUAAAGAUGUGUCGUUAGCAGCAGAACAGUUUGCCAGACUUCUAUAUGUACUCUCUGUUUGUAUACUUGCGGCUUGAUCUAAAAUUAUCUAACCUUGUUAUAGUUUCUUUGGAGAAGUUAAUCUUGUCAUAAUUUCCAUCACUUUGCUUUAGAGAUCUCCAUUGUCUCUCUACUUGGGUAUGGAGUUCAGUGGGAGAAUCUCGUUUGUGCCAAUCUGGCUCAUUAAUUUCCUCUGUGGUACAAAUGUCGUUCGAGUUUAGCUGGCGGAUGCUGGCUCACCAAUACAGAUCAGGUCCCUCUUCCUAAAUUUGGUGAAGUUCUAAAAUCAAGUGCAAUAGGUUUAUCUUUAUGAAGUUGCUCUCUCUUUUUGCUUGAAGGAAUGUAGGGCGGAACUUUCAAGAAUCCAUUAAAAUCUGAAUUGUCUCAAUUUGAUGUAAAUGCCAAUGUCCUCUUGCCUCUAACUUUA